UUCUGCCAGCCAAUAUGGAGCACCUUUUCUGUGAAUAUAUUCAUGUUAUGCUGAGGGUUGGGAAAAACACCCACCAGCUUCAGUGAGGUAACACCUGCUUUCCAUUCAGGCUAAAUGAGGGAACAAUUAAAUGCCCCUUUGUUGAGAGAGAGCAGAAACAACAGGAGCCAUCACCUGAAACACAGGCCACAUUAGCAAGAACAUCACAGGAGAACACAGAGAAGGAACAAAGACGCCCCAGACACAGCCAGAGAUGCCUUAGCAGUGUGACCUUGAGAAAAAGCUGAGAAAGAGCUUUUGAGUAAAGUGCUGUCUGGAAGAGGCUUGAGAUGUGAGAAAAUAAACUGGCUCCUGCUGUUUGAUUCCUUCUUUGUAAAUAAACAGGAUUGCAC
This is a long non-coding RNA of Mauremys reevesii (Reeves's turtle), 392 nucleotides long. RefSeq lists it as uncharacterized. The transcript is spliced from 3 exons. Lineage: Eukaryota; Metazoa; Chordata; Testudines; Geoemydidae. The record is from RefSeq and is a predicted model, not a curated record.